AAGAUAAAAAUAUUUAAAGAUUUUUGGUGGAUGUCCCAUAUUUUUUGGAUUAAAAAUAAAAUUAAUAUGAAUAAAAUAAAAUAAAAAGAUUAACUGAAAAUUCAAAAACUAAAAAGAAAUUAGAAAAAACAAGGGCCAUCAGAUAUCCCUUAUUAAUUGAGGUGGCGGAUUUGCUGGCCCCGCGCGCGCUUAGGGGUGUUCGCGGUGCAGUUUGGGCGAUUUUGAUGAUAAAAAUCAUCCGAACCGCAAGAGAAAAAAACAUGCGGUUCAGUUUGGUUCGGUUGACUUUUAGAAAUAAAAUCAAACUAAACCAAACCAAAUGAGUGCAGUUUGGAUUGGUUCGGUUGGUUCGGUUUUUUUACAAUAUUUUUAUUUAGCCAUACAUACACCUAUAGAGAACAACAUAACUUUGUGUUUAGUCAUUCAUACAUUAGUAAAUAACAUCAAAAUUCAUCAUAUUUAGACAAAAACUUCUCAUUCAAUAUACAAAAAAUUAGAUUAGAAAAAAAGUGGAAUAAAAAACAUAUAUAAAAUAAUAGCAUAAAAUAGUAGCAUAAAAUAAUAUCAAAAACAUUAUAAUAAAACAUAAAAAAACAUAUGAGAAGAGAGAUUAGAGAAGAUGAAAAAAAACGUAAGAGAUGCAAGAUUGAGAAGAAAUGUGCGAUAAAAAUGGAAUUGAAAGAUAAAACAAUAAUAUAAAAGAUGAAAAAGAAAAAACAUAAGAGAUAACAUAUUAGAGUAGAA
This 744-nucleotide long non-coding RNA is filed under the name Lathyrus oleraceus (garden pea). RNAcentral's name for it is "Pisum sativum (pea) long non-coding RNA (PSAT_LNC029040)". The record is from RNAcentral. Lineage: Eukaryota; Viridiplantae; Streptophyta; Magnoliopsida; Fabales; Fabaceae.